This 442-nucleotide ribosomal RNA is filed under the name uncultured bacterium. RNAcentral's name for it is "partial 16S ribosomal RNA". It matches the Rfam family "Bacterial small subunit ribosomal RNA", at positions 338 to 795 of the family's 1533-position model. The record is from RNAcentral.
CCUACGGGUGACAGCAGUGGGGAAUAUUGGGCAAUGGGCGCAAGCCUGACCCAGCAACGCCGCGUGAAGGAAGAAGGCUUUCGGGUUGUAAACUUCUUUUCUGGGGGACGAACCAAUGACGGUACCCCGGGAAUAAGCCACGGCUAACUACGUGCCAGCCGCCGCGGUAAUACGUAGGUGGCCAGCGUUAUCCGGAUUUAUUGGGUGUAAAGGGCGUGUAGGGGGGGAUGCAAGUCAGAUGUGAAAACUCAGGGCUCAACCCUGAGCCUGCAUUUGAAACUGUGUUUCUUGAGUGCUGGAGAGGCAAUCGGAAUACCGGGUGUAGCGGUGAAAUGCGUAGAUAUACGGAGGAACACCAGUGGCGAAGGCGGAUUGCUGGACAGUAACUGACGCUGAGGCGCGAAAGCGUGGGGAGCAAACAGGAUUAGAUACCCUAGUAGUC